This 1206-nucleotide ribosomal RNA is filed under the name Triticum aestivum (bread wheat). RNAcentral's name for it is "partial small subunit ribosomal RNA". The record is from RNAcentral. Lineage: Eukaryota; Viridiplantae; Streptophyta; Magnoliopsida; Poales; Poaceae.
AUGGAGCCGCGGCCGCGCCCGGUGGCCGUCGCCGUCAACGCGCUGCUCUGCGUCCUCUCUCUCUGCGUGUCCGCGGCCGAGGCCGAGAACGUGACCACCUACGACGCCAAGAACUUCGGCGCUAAAGGCAACGGGGUCGACGACGAUACCAAGGCGCUGGUGGCGGCAUGGAAGAAAGCGUGCGGGACGCCUGGCACGGUGACGCUGGUUAUCCCGCCGGGGACCUACUACAUCGGGCCCGCGCAUUUCCACGGUCCCUGCGAGGCCCUCGCCAUCACCUUCUUCCUCCAGGGGGUGCUCAUGGCGGCAACGGAUCUGAAGCGUUUUGGCAAUGACUGGAUUGAGUUCGGGUGGGUGACAAACCUCACCGUGGUCGGCCAGAACGGCGGCGUCAUCGACGGCCAGGGCGCCGCCUCCUGGCCAUUUAACAAGUGUCCCGUCCGAAAGGACUGCAAAGUCCUUCCCACCAGUGUGAUGUUCUUGAACAACCAGAAUACGGUGGUGCGUGACAUCACGUCGGUGAACAGCAAGUUCUUCCACAUCGCGCUGCUGCACAACAACAACAUGAGGAUGAGCAACCUCCGGAUCCACGCGCCGGAAAACAGCCCCAACACGGACGGCAUCCACAUCGAGCGGAACACGGGCGUGAUCAUCUCCGACUCCCGCAUCGGCACCGGCGACGACUGCAUCUCCAUCGGCCAGGGGAACCACAAUAUAUACAUCGCCCGUGUCCACUGCGGCCCGGGCCACGGCAUGAGCGUCGGUAGCCUCGGCCGCUACGUCGGUGAGGGCGACGUCACUAGCAUCCACGUCACCGACAUGACCUUCCAGGGCACCAUGAACGGCGUCCGCAUGAAGACGUGGGAGAACUCCCCUACCAAGAGCCUCGCCGCGCGCAUACUGUUCGAGAACAUGGUGAUGAAGGACGUGCAGACCCCCAUCAUCAUCGACCAGAAGUACUGCCCUUACUACAACUGCGAGCACAGGUACGUCUCCGGGGUCACCAUCGAGGACAUCAAGUUCAAGAACAUCAAGGGGACGUCGACGUUGCCCGUGGCCGUGCUGCUCCGGUGCGGCGUGCCGUGCCGCGGCGUCGUGCUGCAGAACGUCGACCUCAUCUACAACGGAAAGGCAGGCACCUUGUCACACUGCGAGAACGCCAAUGCCACCUACGUUGGCUACCAGCACCCAGAGCCAUGCGCCUAG